UCGUCGGGCCCUGCCCGCCGGCACCUGCGGCUCUCCUUCCUCUCCGCACUCCGUGCCUCCGUCUGCCCAAGGCUGGGGGGAGAGAGGGACGGGGGAGGAAGGGGCAGAAAGAAAAGGAAUGCGGGGAGAAGAAAAGAAGAAUAGGAGAGCAGGGAUGUUUUGGGGGGCAGAGGGACGGGGGAGAAGGAAUACGGGGAGAAGAAAGGAGUGGUAGAGGGGGGAGAGGAGCGGUGGUUUUUGGAGGGCGGAGUAAAGGUGGGGGAAAUAGAGGGAAAAAGGGGAAUACGGGGUGAAGAAAGGAGGGCUAGGUGGGGUGGGGGAGGGAUGCGGGGAGUUUUGGGGGACAGAGGGAACGGGGACAAAGACGAGGAAUACGGGAGAAGAAAGAAGGGGAGGAGGUGGGGAAGCCGAAGCCCCCACGACUCACCUGGUGAGCCGGGACAAGGAGCUCCUACUCCCACCGCGCUCCCAGCCAGCACCUGGCCCACGGGCCGCGAUUAAAUCACCUCGGCCCCGCCCCGCUGUCACCCGGCCCUGCCUCCUGGGACUCUCCGGGGCUCCGUGGUAGCUGUGCUUAAUGUACAGGUCAGUGGGAAUACCUGGAUUUAUCUCUUCUAUCCCCAGAGCCAAGCAGUCAGUCCAACAUUCCUGUCUACUCUGGUGCCAGCCACUGUCUUGCGUUCCAACUCGCUCCUCAGAUGGAAAAAGGCAGGCAGGAUUGUCAGGAAGCAUAUUUAAUAGAGAAGGAAUCUUGAACUGCAUUCAAGCACUGCCCUAAUCUUCCUCAGGAUUGGGACCAUAACUGCUGAAUGCUACUGGCAGUGAGGCUUCUUCCCAGCUGGGUGAUCCUGUGUCCCAGGCUCCGCAGUGUGGCUGGACACACAGGUGUUUUACUCAGCUGCACAUCCAGCUUGUCCCAGAGAUGUUGUGGCUCCCUGACAGGAACGUGGCAGCCCCUGGCCCAGCUGGGAGCACAGCGAGGUGAAGGCUGAGCAGUGCAUCCACCACCACGGGACUGCUCAGUGCUGAGAUUCAAGCUAUUUAUCACUGAUGGGAAUGCUGGAGGGCUGCCAGCCUGAGCUCCAGAGACCCCAGAGAUGCACGGAGCAGAGCUGCUGCCAAGGUGGACACGCAGCCCAACCCUUUCCUUUUUCAACCCCUACACUGGAAUUCCCUUCUACAAAGUUCUCUGGUGACCUUCUUGACACCAGCAGCCACAAACCAGAGUGCCAGUUUUCUGUGGAAUCAGAGGUAACACGAGUGGAAAUGACUGGCAGUGUGUCAGCUCUUUGCUCUCUGUACUUCAGGGUGUGCAAUGACACCAAUGAAUCUCAGUCUAACUUUCUUUUUCUUUUUUCUUACAGGGACUCCAGGGCUACAAGGCUCUGGCAUGAACCACUUCACCUGGAACUGUAGCUCAGGAUUCUCUGUCCUAUCCCAAGUGGACGUGGAUAACAAACUCAUUCUUUUUGAAGAACAUUUUCAAAAGUCUCAACAUUUUCAAAAAUUUCAAAAAUGUGACUCUUCCCACCAAUACAAUUCUCUGUCAUAAACCAGGCCUUUGAGGAUUCCCUCUUCUCCCUGCCUUUCCAAUGGGGGCACUAUUUCCCUGAAGUCUGGGACCCGCUGCCAGACACAGAACUCUCACAGCCAGACAUCCCCAGUGCUGAUGGCAUCAGAAGGGCUACUCCAGGUUGGAUUUAGGCACUCCUGUCAAUACAUCACAGGGUGAGAUAGCUCAUGACCAGGUGAUGGUAUUUUUCACGCCCUUUUCAACCCAAAUUCUGCUAAUUACUGCCAUUCUGAGUAACACUUUGCAAUUCUCCUUACACAGCCUGUUCCUGCACACUGCAGGGCCAUUUGCCAGACUCACUCUGACUUCCCAUCCCGUUCCAGUGAGCCCCUCUCCCCCUUCCUGCUUCCUGCUGAACUAAGGAGUGCUUCCCUCUAAUUCCUUGUGUAAAUCACUGAUGCCUAUGGUGAAUACCACCGUGUGCAGGUGGAUGUGGACAGACUUUGAGGGGAGCCCAUUCAAUGGAUCUAUGCUCCCUGUCUGUGAAUCACUGCUUCAGAAAAUGGUUGCAGAAUGGCUGUUUUCCCUUCUGAUCCCUUCCAACAGCACGUGCCUGGGGGGCUCCCAGCAGUGUGCAGGGAACACCAGGGUGUCCAUGGGCCCAGAGAGCAGGGAAAGGGGCUCACUGUCACACCCUGGCACCAGUCACACUGCUGUGCUGCAUCAGUGCUCAGUGCCCUGCUCCCUGGGCACGGCAGAGGGGCUGUGCUGGCUGCAGGGGACUUGGGCAGUUCCUUCCAGGGAUGAGAAAAACAUUUCAAAAAUAGGACAAACAGCGCUGGAGAACUAUGCAGCAGAGGUACAAAACAUAGCAGGGAAGCAGGACAUGCCCAGCAGCUGACUCUGCCAGACUUGUCCUGCUGGUUUUGUGUCCUGGCAGUGGCACAGCCCCUGGCCCUCCAGGCCCCCCAGCCCGGCCACCACAGCAGUGCUCAGGCUGGGACCAAAGGGACCUCUGCUGGAAACAGGCAGCAUUACCAAAAGCUUCCAAAGCUUCCCUAAACUUUUGUGAAAAACGCUAUAUAAGAAGCUAAAUCCACUCAGACCAAAAGAGACUAGAGGGAGAAUUCAGAUGCACAUAAAUUUUGCUUCCUAACAGUUACAAAUUCUUUGAGGAAUUCUAAUUAAUAUAUGACUUCAACAUUCCAUUUUAGGGACUAACACAUGCUCAAAUAGCUUCAGGAGACUGAAAAAUGGAAGAGUUUUAAGAGAGACUGGGAGGCUCAGCAGUUACACAGAUGUUUUAAAUGGCACAGCUUUAUCCUGUGACUCCUCUGUGGCAGCAGUUUAGAAUCAUUGGCCAUAGUUAUAUUUCCAGAUCUCUGUUGGGAAAAACAAUUACAGAAAGGAUAAAGGAUAAUAACUCUGUACUGAAGUUUGGAAGAGGUUCAUCAGGUGCUUGACAAGUGUAUUAUUUCUAAUGUGUAGUUGAAAGUAUUUUUACCAUUUCAAAACUGCUAUUGCUUUAAAGGCAGUCUUUUAAUAAUGACUUAAUACUGUCAUCUCUAAGGAUGAGCGUGGGAGUCAGUGGUACUGAGGGACAAACCUAAUUCUGUCAAACAUGGGUAAGUUUAGGUUUUGACUCUCUGUGCACGCUCCUCUGAUGGUUAUGAGAGUUUGCUGUGGCUGUGAAGAAAUGUCUUAUAAUAAGAAGACCCAGCCAGCCUUUGUGGGCUGCUUUGUUUCCAAACACCAACAAAACUCACACAGCAGUUCUGAGAUGCUCUAGGAAGACAAAUCUACAAAGAAACAUCACUUACACUAAAACUCCACUAACAGAACUGGAGAAUAUUAAUGGGCUGGUGCAGUUUCACAUGCUCUAAAUAGGAAAUAAGAUCAGAAUCAGCACUGCCACAGACCUGAAAGCAGAAGAAAGUACUUCUCAAUGCUAAUUGCUCCACUGCCUAUAUGUGGAGCUGUGGCUACAGGAUCUUUUCUCAUCUUAUUUUCUAUUCCUAGUUUAUAUUUUAAUUUAUUAAGUGCAAAUAAGCCAUGGGAUCAUCAACAACAACAACAACAACUCCAAAAUAUCAACAAGAACAAAAUAAACCACAGAGAGGAAAUGUUAAUGCUUCACAAGUCAGAGAGGGACAAAGCUUGAUGAGCCAAUUAAAGCAAGCUUCCAGUGA
This is a long non-coding RNA of Passer montanus (Eurasian tree sparrow), 3702 nucleotides long. RefSeq lists it as uncharacterized. Lineage: Eukaryota; Metazoa; Chordata; Aves; Passeriformes; Passeridae. The record is from RefSeq and is a predicted model, not a curated record. The transcript is spliced from 3 exons.